GACGAACCGUGCGAACGUUAUUCGGAAUCGCUGGGCUUAAAGCGCGUGUAGGCGGGGAGGCACGUCCGACGUUGAAAUCCCCCGGCUCAACCGGGGAACUGGCGCGGAUACGACCUUCCUGGAGGGGCGUAGGGGGACCUGGAACUUCCGGUGGAGCGGUGAAAUGCGUUGAGAUCGGAAGGAACGCCCGUGGCGAAAGCGAGGUCCUGGACGCCUACUGACGCUGAGACGCGAAAGCCAGGGGAGCAAACGGG
Molecule: ribosomal RNA, 254 nt
Filed under: uncultured bacterium
Lineage: Bacteria
Description: partial 16S ribosomal RNA
Rfam family: Bacterial small subunit ribosomal RNA
Source: RNAcentral